CUUUCCUCUGACACAACGGGCCGCAACACUUUCCUCUCCACUCUCAUAUUCCUGGUGCCUCCUCCCUCCAUUUUUAGGCCUAGGGUUUCGGUUUUCUUAUUUUUUUCCCAUUUUAUGUUUUGCAUCUCUGCUUAUUUGGGUUUGUGUCAUUUCUUCAGCACAGGUUACAGUUCUCUUCAUUUUUUCUCUUAAACCACUGAUCAAUCAUUAUCCUACCCUCCACCCCUACAACUCAUUACAUGCAUAAUGAGAAAUUUCAACAGUAGCAUCUAAAUUUUGGUUUGCGAGUUCAAUUGAGAAGAGAGCAUUUCCUGGUGCUUCCUUCAUCUCGUGGUUGAUUGAAAUUGGAGAAGGAAGCUGAACACGGUGGAAAAGCAUAGAAAGAAAUGUCUAGUCAGCAGCAGGAAAGAGAAAAGGAUGUGCAAAGCACAAAUCCCCAUGGUUUGAGAGAAAUGGUAGAAGAACAGUACAAAAAAAUCAGAGAGAAUGCAGAAACUUAUCCAUAUGUAUGGGCAUCAUAUAUUGUAGUAUACGGUGGUUUUGCCUUGUGGACUACCUAUAGGUGGAGAAAACUUCGAAAGACUGAGGACAGAGUACGAGCUCUUCAAGAAAGACUCCGCAAACUUGUUGAUUCUCAGGACUCUGCAACUUCAUCAACUCUUGAAAAGGCUCCUCCUUCUAUUGAUAAAUCCAAAUGCCCCAAAUAGCUCAUCUGUCCUUGCCAUUUCCUCUAAGAAACAAGUGUCUUAAAGUCUGAAUGUAAAUCUCCUCUCCCAAAUAGCUCAUCUACUUCAAUAUUUUCCUUUCAGAUACUAGAGAAGUGUUCAAGCUGUUAUCAAAUUUACAGCUUUUGGCCCUUCAUGCGGUAGAGCAAAAUCUGUAGUUAACUAGAUUAGUGAGUUAUUUAGGUUUUAUUGUUUCAGUUAUUGAUGGCAUUGUGAUUUCUAUUUUUUUUUUUUGCAAAAUUUUCUUUUUGUUACUCACC
This 985-nucleotide unclassified non-coding RNA is filed under the name Hevea brasiliensis (rubber tree). The record is from RNAcentral. Lineage: Eukaryota; Viridiplantae; Streptophyta; Magnoliopsida; Malpighiales; Euphorbiaceae.